GGGGAAUUUUGGACAAUGGGGGAAACCCUGAUCCAGCCAUCCCGCGUGUGCGAUGAAGGCCUUCGGGUUGUAAAGCACUUUUGUCAGGGAAGAAAAGGUUCUGGCUAAUACCCGGAACUGAUGACGGUACCUGAAGAAUAAGCACCGGCUAACUACGUGCCAGCAGCCGCGGUAAUACGUAGGGUGCAAGCGUUAAUCGGAAUUACUGGGCGUAAAGCGUGCGCAGGCGGUUCGGAAAGAAGGAUGUGAAAUCCCAGGGCUCAACCUUGGAACUGCAUUCUUAACUACCGAACUAGAGUAUGUCAGAGGGGGGUAGAAUUCCGCGUGUAGCAGUGAAAUGCGUAGAUAUGCGGAGGAAUACCGAUGGCGAAGGCAGCCCCCUGGGAUAAUACUGACGCUCAUGCACGAAAGCGUGGGUAGCAAAC
Molecule: ribosomal RNA, 425 nt
Filed under: uncultured bacterium
Lineage: Bacteria
Description: bacterial SSU rRNA
Rfam family: Bacterial small subunit ribosomal RNA
Source: RNAcentral